UCUCCAUUAAAUCAUUAAUCUCCAACAACGAACAACACCAGUUACUCCACCUCUCGAUCCAGAAGAAGAAUGAGAAAAGUCAGUGAUUUGUGGUAAGUUAUCACUCACGCCAGGGAGAAGACGAAGGGAAAGGAUUCAAGGAAGAAGGAACCAUCCAACUUUAACCAAGGAAACCCAUUAAGAGCCAUGGCCUAUUCUUCUUCUUCAUCAUCAAUCUUUGUAUUGUCUCUAGUCAUUCUGUUCUGUUCUAUUGAAUCAUCAUCAGCUCAAAUACCACCUUAUUCUCCAUGUUAUGGUAAAGUUUCUUUAGCUCUUCAUUAUGAAACUCUGUGUCCAUACUGUUCAAAUUUCACGGUGAAUUACUUACCACAAAUCUUCAACAAUGGACUCAUUGAUAUCAUCGAUCUUCAACUCAUUAAUUCCUUAUGGUAAUGCCAGAAUUACUUCUGAUAAAGUCAUUACCUGCCAGCAUGGACCAACUGAGUGUGAAUUGAACACAGUGGAGGCAUGUGCACUACAAGUCUGGCCUGCUCAGGUAGCACAAUAGUUCUGUCUGUUUUUUGAUCUGAGGGGGUUCAAUGUGUGUGUAUUUGUACUAUGUAUACUUUUAUUCUUUUUUGUAAUUUUUUUCACAGUAGUUUAGUUGUAUAGAGCAUGUCCUUCCCUGGUUCAAUUUUAUUAAACUAA
Papaver somniferum (opium poppy) is the source of this 687-nucleotide long non-coding RNA. RefSeq lists it as uncharacterized. Lineage: Eukaryota; Viridiplantae; Streptophyta; Magnoliopsida; Ranunculales; Papaveraceae. The record is from RefSeq and is a predicted model, not a curated record. The transcript is spliced from 4 exons.